GACGAACGCUGGCGGCGUGCUUAACACAUGCAAGUCGAACGGACGAGUGAGAUAAGUUUACUUAACUCACAAGUUAGUGGCGGACGGGUGAGUAACACGUGGAUAAUCUACCUGCAACACCGGGAUAACGCUGUGAAAACGGUGCUAAUACCGGAUACGUUCCCUUGUGCGCAUGUAUGAGGGAAGAAAGCUCAGGCGGUUGCAGAUGAGUCCGCGGCUGAUUAGCUAGUUGGUGAGGUAAAGGCUCACCAAGGCGAUGAUCAGUAGCCGGCCUGAGAGGGUGAACGGCCACACUGGGACUGAGACACGGCCCAGACUCCUACGGGAGGCAGCAGUGGGGAAUCUUCCGCAAUGGGCGCAAGCCUGACGGAGCAACGCCGCGUGGGUGAAGAAGGCCUUCGGGUUGUAAAGCCUGUCUUAUGGGAAGAAGUCAGUGACGGUACCAGUAGGAGGAAGCCACGGCUAACUACGUGCCAGCCGCCGCGGUAACUACCACUACG
RNAcentral lists this ribosomal RNA (500 nucleotides) under uncultured bacterium. RNAcentral's name for it is "bacterial SSU rRNA". It matches the Rfam family "Bacterial small subunit ribosomal RNA", at positions 28 to 531 of the family's 1533-position model. The record is from RNAcentral.